CUGCUGCCUCCCGUAGGAGUUUGGGCCGUGUCUCAGUCCCAAUGUGGCCGUUCACCCUCUCAGGCCGGCUACUGAUCGUCGCCUUGGUGGGCCUUUACCCCGCCAACUAGCUAAUACAACGCAUGUCCAUCUCUGACCACCUGAGUUUUCAACCACCGAAGAUGCCUCCGGUGAUGUUAUGGGGUAUUAGUACCAAUUUCUCGAUGUUAUCCCCCUGUCAAAGGUAGGUUACAUACGCGUUACGCACCCGUCCGCCGGUCGCGG
Molecule: ribosomal RNA, 264 nt
Filed under: uncultured bacterium
Lineage: Bacteria
Description: partial 16S ribosomal RNA
Source: RNAcentral